Molecule: ribosomal RNA, 491 nt
Filed under: uncultured bacterium
Lineage: Bacteria
Description: partial 16S ribosomal RNA
Rfam family: Bacterial small subunit ribosomal RNA
Source: RNAcentral
AGUGAACGCUGGCGGUAGGCCUAACACAUACAAGUCGAACGGCAGCACAGUAAGAGCUUGCUCUUACGGGUGGCGAGUGGCGGACGGGUGAGGAAUACAUCGGAAUCUACUUUUUCGUGGGGGAUAACGUAGGGAAACUUACGCUAAUACCGCAUACGACCUACGGGUGAAAGCAGGGGAUCUUCGGACCUUGCGCGAUUGAAUGAGCCGAUGUCGGAUUAGCUAGUUGGCGGGGUAAAGGCCCACCAAGGCGACGGUCCGUAGCUGGUCUGAGAGGAUGGUCCGCCACACUGGACCUGAGACACGGUCCAGACUCCUACGGGAGGCCGCAGUGGGGAAUAUUGGACAAUGGGCGCAAGCCUGCUCCAGCCAUACCGCGUGGGCGAAGAAGGCCUUCGGGUUGUAAAGCCCUUUUGUUGGGAAAGAAAAGCAGCAGGUUAAUACCCCGCUGUUCUGACGGUACCCAAAGAAUAAGCACCGGCUAACUUCGU